GAAAAUGGUAGGUCGUUCCCAGCUUUCACGAGAACACCGUGGAAGUAGCUCUCACGCGCGCUCAGCUCCCCUCCAGGAGGCCGCUUGCGCCAAGGAGGAGCAUUCACAGCGCCCUGUCUUGAAUAUGUCAUUGGAGAGUGAACUGCUCCAAGACAGAGACUGUUACUGGUCUGGCUUGCGAGAGAAUCCUGAAGCCUGAAAGGUCUGCUGGGACGUGCUUCAGAAGGCCUUGUUUCCCAGCUCACCGGAUCA
Lutra lutra (Eurasian river otter) is the source of this 252-nucleotide long non-coding RNA. RefSeq lists it as uncharacterized. NCBI's taxonomy places the organism in Eukaryota, Metazoa, Chordata, Mammalia, Carnivora, Mustelidae. The transcript has 3 exons. The record is from RefSeq and is a predicted model, not a curated record.